GAUGAACGCUGGCGGCGUGCCUAAUACAUGCAAGUCGAGCGAACAGACGAGGAGCUUGCUCCUUUGACGUUAGCGGCGGACGGGUGAGUAACACGUGGGUAACCUACCUAUAAGACUGGGAUAACUUCGGGAAACCGGAGCUAAUACCGGAUAAUAUUUCGAACCGCAUGGUUCGAUAGUGAAAGAUGGCUUUGCUAUCACUUAUAGAUGGACCUGCGCCGUAUUAGCUAGUUGGUAAGGUAACGGCUUACCAAGGCAACGAUACGUAGCCGACCUGAGAGGGUGAUCGGCCACACUGGAACUGAGACACGGUCCAGACUCCUACGGGAGGCAGCAGUAGGGAAUCUUCCGCAAUGGGCGAAAGCCUGACGGAGCAACGCCGCGUGAGUGAUGAAGGUCUUCGGAUCGUAAAACUCUGUUAUUAGGGAAGAACAAACGUGUAAGUAACUGUGCACGUCUUGACGUUACCUAAUCAGAAAGCCACGGCUAACUACGUG
Molecule: ribosomal RNA, 497 nt
Filed under: uncultured bacterium
Lineage: Bacteria
Description: partial 16S ribosomal RNA
Rfam family: Bacterial small subunit ribosomal RNA
Source: RNAcentral